Dromaius novaehollandiae (emu) is the source of this 2641-nucleotide long non-coding RNA. RefSeq lists it as uncharacterized. The record is from RefSeq and is a predicted model, not a curated record. The transcript is spliced from 7 exons. NCBI's taxonomy places the organism in Eukaryota, Metazoa, Chordata, Aves, Casuariiformes, Dromaiidae.
GGGUCGUAGCUUUGCUCAGGAUUGGGGCCGGUUAGGCAGCUGCUGGGAGGAGUGGCGGUGCUGGGAGGGCACGGUGCGGAGCUGUCCUGCUGUGCAGCGCAAGGGAAAGUCGACCAGCACCGUUGCUGUCCGAGGACCCUGGAACAGCCCGAGAGACCCUGGAACAGCCACCCCACGGACACCGUGUCACUGCCUCGCAAGGCCACUGCAUGCAGGGUAGCCCACCGAAGGGGGACAUCUCGAAGAGAAGCAGCAAGAGCUGGGGAUCCGGUGGUUCAUUUUGGUCGUCGCCUGUGAGGCCAGCAUGCAAGAGUAAGAGGAAGCUAGGAGCAGUCUCAAAAAGAGGUGGAACCAAGGACAGCAAAUGCUGACGAGGAGAAGAGACGGACGAGCGUUUGCUUGCGGUUAAUACCGAAGGGAGGGGAUGAAACAAGGAAGCCAGAAUGCAGCGGCCCCUCGAUAUCACCAGGAACUGCUACAGGAGGAGGCGUUCUGGCACGGGUAACUAGGGGUAGCCCACCGAAGGGGGACAUCUCGAAGAGAAGCAGCAAGAGCUGGGGAUCCGGUGGUUCAUUUUGGUCGUCGCCUGUGAGGCCAGCAUGCAAGAGUAAGAGGAAGCUAGGAGCAGUCUCAGAAAGAGGUGGAACCGAGGACAGCAAAUGCUGACAAGGAGAAGAGACGGACGAGCGUUUGCUUGCGGUUAAUACCGAAGGGAGGGGAUGAAACAAGGAAGCCAGAAUGCAGCGGCCCCUCGAUAUCACCAGGAACUGCUACAGGAGGAGGCGUUCUGGCACGGGUAACUAGGAUUAAUUGCCACGGCUGAAGUUGAAGAGACCAAGAAACGUAAGCUGCAAAGGGGCACAUCUUGAAGAGAGGGGGCUAGACCUAGCGAUGCAGUUGUUCGUUUUGGUCGUCGCCUGUGAGGCCAGCAUGCAAGAGUAAGAGGAAGCUAGGAGCAGUCUCAAAAAGAGGUGGAACCAAGGACAGCAAAUGCUGACGAGGAGAAGAGACGGACGAGCGUUUGCUUGCGGUUAAUACCGAAGGGAGGGGAUGAAACAAGGAAGCCAGAAUGCAGCGGCCCCUCGAUAUCACCAGGAACUGCUACAGGAGGAGGCGUUCUGGCACGGGUAACUAGGGUAAGUAUGGCUAAUGACCGUUAGCAGUUAUUUUGGCCUCCCCGAGGCAGCGCUGAGGACUAAGUAACCUGAGGGGCUCUGGCCUGGGUUGGGGCAGAAGUGCAGGCAGGCGGGAUCAGGCAUUUUCCUCUCAGCUCUCCGAGCUGAAUCCUAGCCCUGAAGGAAAAAGCACUGGGGGGAGGCUACUCGGACACCUGCCAUGUCGAGGGCAGGGGCAGGAGCUGACCCUUCCCCGACGGACGGACGUACGGACAGACGCUGGUGCGGCGGUGACUCUUUGGAUAUCGUAGGUAAGGGGAGGCACGCUGGUGCCGAGCUCCAGGGCGGUUUGCCUGAACACGAUGCCUGAGGCAGGAGGUUACGCAUUGUGUCCGGGGCUGGGAGCUGGUCCCCGAGUCCCAUGUACUUGGGAGUGCCUGCGCUUGCCAGGGUGCCCGGUGCUGUUCCCAGAGCUGCGGGGAAUUUCCCUUGCGUUGCCUGGACCCUCGGGGCUCUUGGGGGUGUUUCCCCUCAUCGCGAGGGCUGCCAGAGCCCCUCCAGGGCUGCGUGAGGUCCCCGAACCGCUCCCGGAUUUGCUUUUGGCACUCCGCAGUGUCGCUCGUGUGCCUGGGGCAGCCUGCAGGCGCCAUCCUGUCAGCCGCGUUGAGCCCUGCGGCGUGCCUGGUGACCCCUCUGGUGUGCGCCAAGGCCCUUCCUCUGUAUUUUGGUCUGCCCCAGAGCCCUGCACUUGCCCUCUGAUGCCCUCAGGACCCCUCAGUUCACAUUCUGGGUUGCCCCCGAGCCCUCUGCGUGCCUUUCGGUGCGCCCCGUGGCCCCGUGUGUGUUUUGCGGCACGCCGCAGAGGUCUCUGUUUAGCUUUUUCUCCUGUCCUGGAGUUUUCUGGGUGCUUCUGGGUGUGCCCCAGGGCCCUCCUUUUGGUGCCCCCCGAGUCACUCUGUUUGCUCUAUCGUUGUUCUUUUUUUUUUUUUUUCUUGACUUGUGUUGCACCCAGAGCUCUCGAUUUGUUCUCUUGUGCUCCGCAUACUCCCCUUUCCGCACUCGACACCCCAGGCAGGGCUCUCCCUUCAGCUCUCAGCAAGCUGCUGUCAGGAGAGUGGGGGUGCCUCUGCUGCCCUGGCAGCCCCAGCUGUCCCUGAAGGGGCUGAUGGCCAGGCCCCCUGCCCAGUUCCUGCAGGCCCACAGCUGCGGGCCCUGGGGCUGGGAUGAAUGCCAGGGGGAGCUGGGUGGCAGGACAGGCCCCAGGUGGGGCUGAUGGCAAGGGCAGGCCCACAUUUGGGGGCUGGGGCCGCAGCUGGGGGGAGCUGGCGCUGGGGCAGGAGCUGGGCAGCGGAGCUGCCACGGAGCACGGCCCUUCGGGCCCAGCCCGGCGGCCGCCCCGCGGAGGAGGUGAGCGAGGCCGGGGGAGGCGCGCUGCAGGCUGCGGGUCCCGCAUGUGCCGGGGGUCCCGGCGGCUGGGAGCGUCCCGGGGCCACGGAGGCGGGGGGAGGAAGGGGGUGCGCCGGGGC